CUGAAUAAUGCUUCAAAUUCUUCCUAUAUGCUACUUCGAGUGUUGUUCUUUCGUUUGGUCCUUGGUCUUCAAGUUGAGUCUUCCAUUUCCAUGGAGAUAAUUGCCUUUUGGUUGUGGCUCACACAAGGGAAUGGCCAAGUUGGUUACCUUCAGCACAUAUACUCUCUUGGUGACAACCAUUUUCGCGCAAUUGUUUCUUCUGCAAAACGUUUUCUGGAAGUUCUCCAUUUUGCAUUCGGUGGUUCAGAGGCCAGAUCUAUAGCAAGAAGUGACUUUCAGAACCAAGCUAUUGAAGGAAUUUCUCUCUACCUCAAUACUAUCUGUUAUGAGGCCUUAGAAGAUCUUCGAGAAAGGAUAGAGAUGAAUUUUGUCCGUAAUAAGAUGACAUACCUGCGCCAAGAAGCCUAUGGACAGUCCAGGACUGAUCGGGUUCCUACUGCAAGCUCGAAACACCUUCUUACCAAGAUCAAGGCUUUGUAUGCUAACAAUCCGAAGCAUCAUGGAGAAGGCACAAGUUCUAGAAAUAUCUGUGUUCAAACAAGUCAAAUGCGUCAUGGAGAAGGCUCAAAUUCAAGAAAUAUCCAUCCUCAAACAAGUCGUAUGCUCCACCAUGAUACAGAGGACGAAGUAUAUGAUUAUCAGCCAACCUCCCAUUUGAUCACGCAAGACCUAUCUGAUGUUCCACCUGAUGAGAGAACUUUGUUUGUGACAUUUUCUAAUGGCUAUCCACUGACCAAGGAUGAACUACACGAAUUUUUUAUGAGGCACUAUGGAGAUAUUGAAGAAAUAAGUGUAGAGGAGCCAAUCGAAAGUAGGCCACCACUGUACGCACACGUUGCAUUUUACUCACAGAUGACACUCUUCCGUGUUCUAGACGGGAAUAUGAGAGUUAAGUUCAUGACCAGGGGAAAACAUCUAUGGGCUCGACAGUAUGUGCCAAAGAAGAAGAAG
RNAcentral lists this ribosomal RNA (951 nucleotides) under Triticum aestivum (bread wheat). RNAcentral describes it as "partial small subunit ribosomal RNA". The record is from RNAcentral. Lineage: Eukaryota; Viridiplantae; Streptophyta; Magnoliopsida; Poales; Poaceae.